UCUCUAAAUCUCUUCCCAAGCUGC
RNAcentral lists this non-coding RNA (24 nucleotides) under Arabidopsis thaliana (thale cress). The record is from RNAcentral. Lineage: Eukaryota; Viridiplantae; Streptophyta; Magnoliopsida; Brassicales; Brassicaceae.